RNAcentral lists this ribosomal RNA (510 nucleotides) under uncultured bacterium. RNAcentral describes it as "bacterial SSU rRNA". It matches the Rfam family "Bacterial small subunit ribosomal RNA", at positions 464 to 967 of the family's 1533-position model. The record is from RNAcentral.
CCCCGAUGACGGUACCGUAGAGAAUAAGCCAACGGCUAACUCUGUGCCAGCAGCCGCGGUAAGACAGAGGUGGCAAGCGUUGUUCGGAAUUACUGGGCGUAAAGAGUCUGUAGGUGGUUUGUCAAGUCUUUGGUGAAAAGGCCGUAGCUUAACUAUGGGAAAUGCCAAAGAGACUGGCAGGCUGGAGGCUGGGAGAGGGAAGCGGAAUUUCUGGUGUAGCGGUGAAAAUGCGUAGAUAUCAGAAGGAAGGCCGGUGGCGAAGGCGGCUUCCUGGAACAGUCCUGACACUGAGAGACGAAAGCGUGGGGAGCAAACAGGAUUAGAUACCCUGGUAGUCCACGCCCUAAAACGAUGGGUACUAAGUGUGGAGGGGUUAAACCCUCCGUGCCGCAGCAAACGCAGUAAGUACCCCGCCUGGGGAGUACGGCCGCAAGGUUGAAACUCUAAAGGAAUUGACGGGGGCCCGCACAAGCGGUGGUGCAUGUGGUUUAAUUCGACGCAACGCGAGGA